UAAUACUACAAAAGAUGCAAUUUUCACAAU
This 30-nucleotide non-coding RNA is filed under the name Mus musculus (house mouse). Lineage: Eukaryota; Metazoa; Chordata; Mammalia; Rodentia; Muridae. The record is from RNAcentral.